RNAcentral lists this ribosomal RNA (301 nucleotides) under uncultured bacterium. RNAcentral's name for it is "partial 16S ribosomal RNA". It matches the Rfam family "Bacterial small subunit ribosomal RNA", at positions 509 to 807 of the family's 1533-position model. The record is from RNAcentral.
CAGUCGCCACGGUAAAACGAAGGGUGCAAGCGUUAAUCGGAAUUACUGGGCGUAAAGCGUGCGUAGGCGGUUUGUUAAGUCUGCUGUGAAAUCCCCGGGCUCAACCUGGGAAUGGCAGUGGAUACUGGCAAGCUAGAGUGUGUCAGAGGAUGGUGGAAUUCCCGGUGUAGCGGUGAAAUGCGUAGAGAUCGGGAGGAACAUCAGUGGCGAAGGCGGCCAUCUGGGACAACACUGACGCUGAGGCACGAAAGCGUGGGGAGCAAACAGGAUUAGAUACCCCUGUAGUCCCUGUCUCUUAUAC